Non-coding RNA from Lolium perenne, 531 nucleotides. The record is from RefSeq and is a predicted model, not a curated record. NCBI's taxonomy places the organism in Eukaryota, Viridiplantae, Streptophyta, Magnoliopsida, Poales, Poaceae.
GGUAAAUUGGUGCAAUUAGCACCAAGGGAGGAUGAGCAGCGGGAGUGGUAUACUCGUUUCAAGACCAGGGAAGAACACAUUGGUGUUCAGGUGGAUGGUGACGACGCUGGUACUCUUGUGUCUUGCCAGCGCUGGUGCCGCGGGCUUCACCUUCGACAAGUACAACCUGAGGGUCCCAUCAAAUAAUAUUUUUCUGGUAUUAUUUGAACAUGUGGCUGGUAUUAUGGGUUUCAGAGAACGACAUAUGAUCUUGGAAUUGUCAAUUCGGUGCUAUGAAGGUAUUAGGUGCUCAGUUGGAGGUACAUAUUCAAGGUUGAGGCUGAAAUGCACGAUGUAGAAAGUAUGGUGCCAAACAUGGAGGAGCCCCUUGUUGGGGGCAACGUUGAGAAGAUAGAGGGACAGGAGAUAGGUUGGUACUGAUUGAGGUCAAGAAGAAGUUGUACCGUGCUGGGCAUCUCGCUGUUGGAUUUCAUGAAUUAUUAUAGAUGUAUGAGUAGAAAAAAUUCAAAAGGGAAGCAUAGUUGAAGAAUG